CUUAUAACAAGUCUAACUGGCUCUGGAAAGCUGAAAAGGCUGCACUGGAGCGGCAUAGAUGAUAUAUUCCACAUAAUAAUCUGCUUAUCUAGAAUCACUCUGCCUAGAAAGGCCAGAGAAAAUCGCAGCUUCAUUAUCUGAGGAAAGAAGGACAGGUGAUCUGGCAAAAACAUUUCUGAACCUGGAGCAAGAACGAUCCUCUGGCUUGGCAGUCCCAACAGUGCAGUGUGAAAGGAACUGAGCCUCCCCAGAAAUCCAAGGGCAGCCACAGCAGCAAAACCGGAGCUUUUGCAGGAUCACUUGUUAUUAAGUAUGAGUAGAGAGAAAGAAACUCGCAACUAACAUGAUCAUCUGCUGAGCAAAAUAGAUCAUUUUCCAGGACAGAUUUAAAGCUACCUUUCCGGAUGGGCAGCCUCACAGCCAGUCACAGAAACACAGUAAACGGGGCUGACAAGGAGUGAAGAAAAGGGCUACAGGAAAAAAAUCGCCUGCUUUCCACAUCUGAGAGAAAUCACUAUGCUCAGAGGGAAUAGGAUACUUUACACAAGAGAAAAUGCUUUCCAAAACUUGAUGCUUAUUUUAGGAGAAUUGGGUACAUUCCCAGCCAUCUUUCCAACACAAGUCUUCUAUCUCUGACCAAGGAUAAAUUCUUCAAUUUCCAACCAUGGAAAGAACCAAGUUCAUGAACCAAGGUAUCACUGAGCUCAUAAGAAUUCUGCAGUUUCAUUCUCUCUAUGAAAAAGAUCAAGUUACAAAGAAGCCUCCUCCACACUGAAGCAGAGAGCCAAAGAAAAAUGAUCUAACCACAGUCUGAAUCUGCUGGACAGUUAAUCACCUUCAAUAAGCUCCAAGCCUGGGCUGUAAUUGUUUCCACCAUCUUUUCCAACAGUUUGCAUCUUCUUUUUCAAUUUUAUUUGACAUUAAAUUCGAUGAAGUCACCCUUAUUUGAAAAUUAAAAUUCAUCAUCAUAAGAAGCUGAGGGAGGAUGCUUUUAAACAAGAAAGAUGCUAAACUCACAAUACCUAAGGAAUUCCUGUUUAUUGUUUAUUUUCUUAAUGCCACGUAGUAUUUGAAGACCAGGUUGCAAACAGAAGUGCUCCACCAAACCUGCUCUUCCUACACAAAAGUACAGUAUAAAAUGCUUUACCUGCUUGCUUGCAGAAGACAUGUUUUUGUCACAAAUAAAAAAUGUACACCAAAUUCAAAGACCUUAAUGGAAUUAAUACGAAUCUUACAUUUGCACAAGAGCAUGCUUGAUUUAGCAUUCUUUGGGAAGGGGCUGUUGGUAACUGGAAGGAAAGAAGGAGAAGAAGCACUCUCUAUAAGGUGGCUUAGAAAGGAGAGAUUGAAGCAGCCAGAACAAACUUCUAGGGUGGAUAAAAGACCAACCUUGUCACAAUAUUUCCAGAGGCCAAUCAUUAAUAGUUGCAAGAGCCACUAUAGAGCAUUAGCAUUAUUCAUAACUGUAUCAUUGGGACUCUUGCUCUCAUUUUGGCACCUUUAAGAACCUUCUACAAUUUGCAUGCUUGUUUCCAGCCAAGCAAAUUUAAUAAAGCCCAUUUUUCAUCCAUGUGACUUUGGGUUUAGGAAAAUUACAUCUAGAGGAAGCAUUCAUCUUACUGGUUGUCUUUUUCUCUACAGCUCUGUCCUCUGGCUGGAGAAGGCAGAGCCCUCCGUCACAGAAAGCAUAUCAAUGUACAUUUUUCUACAUCGUGCAACAUUGAGCUGAACACUCACUCGACAGCACAGCCACAGGUGUUUUCACUUUACAAGGCUGUGUCAUAUUUGUCUUGUGCUUUUCAUCAUACAUUUGAUUUAACAGACAAAUUUUCAAGGCUCAGUGCUGAUGGAUAUACCCUGGAGCCAACUUCAAAGCCAGAUCUUAGAUUUAUGAAAAUAAAAUAAGCAUACUGCUUCAAUUACAAAUACCUACUUUGAAUUCCAAUGUGAACUUUCAAAUGUUCAUCUUAUAAAUCUUGCCCUUUAUUUGAAAC
Molecule: long non-coding RNA, 1994 nt
Filed under: Heterocephalus glaber (naked mole-rat)
Lineage: Eukaryota; Metazoa; Chordata; Mammalia; Rodentia; Bathyergidae
Description: lncRNA (ENSHGLG00100048545.1)
Rfam family: Prostate androgen-regulated transcript 1 conserved region 2 (bases 1-190)
Source: RNAcentral